CAAUCUCCUUCCUUCCCGAGCUCCUCUACUCUGGCUGACACUCCUUCCAGCUAGGUCCUAAAAAUACCCCCGAGAGGGCCGGAGGGUGGGGUGCCGUGGAGCUGAGCUGGGGAGAGGGGCGUCAUCCGGAUCUUCUGGGAACACUGGGGUGGAGGCUGAAGAACAGAAGAGGGAAUCAUGAAUGAUCUAGAUAUGAGAAUGGAAGACACCCACCUGUAAAAGAACCUAUAAUGGAGGAAUUUUGGAGAGAAAAUAAAUGCUUGUUAAUUGAAACA
This 275-nucleotide long non-coding RNA is filed under the name Monodelphis domestica (gray short-tailed opossum). Its description in RNAcentral is "lncRNA (ENSMODG00000037769.1)". The record is from RNAcentral. Lineage: Eukaryota; Metazoa; Chordata; Mammalia; Didelphimorphia; Didelphidae.